AUUGUCAAAGAGAGGUACUGCUAUAGGAUACCUGAUAACUACCCCCUAGCUCUGGCAGCACCUUUGUUAUGUGCAGGAAUCACAGUGUUCACUCCCAUGAUGCGCCAUAAGAUGAACCAGCCUGGUAAAUCACUUGGUGUCAUUGGGUUGGGUGGCCUUGGCCAUAUGGCAGUGAAGUUUGGAAAAGCUUUUGGUUUGAAUGUUACGGUUUUUAGCACGAGCCCAUCCAAGAAAGAUGAAGCCCUGAAACUCCUUGGAGCAGAUAAAUUUGUGAUAUCGUCGGACCAGCAGCAAAUGGAGGCAGCGGCCAACUCCCUGGAUUUCAUCAUUGAUAGCGCUUCCGGUGAUCACCCCUUCGAUCCUUAUAUGUCACUCUUGAAGGUUUUCGGUACAAUGGUCCUAGUGGGUUUUCCUAGUGAAGUCCGACUAAGUCCCGCAAGCCUUAAUAUCGGUGCGAAAACUAUUUCCGGGAGUUUAACUGGUGGUACCAAACUGACACAAGAA
RNAcentral lists this unclassified non-coding RNA (504 nucleotides) under Hevea brasiliensis (rubber tree). The record is from RNAcentral. Lineage: Eukaryota; Viridiplantae; Streptophyta; Magnoliopsida; Malpighiales; Euphorbiaceae.